Molecule: ribosomal RNA, 305 nt
Filed under: uncultured bacterium
Lineage: Bacteria
Description: bacterial SSU rRNA
Rfam family: Bacterial small subunit ribosomal RNA
Source: RNAcentral
UGUGCCUACGGGAGGCAGCAGUGAGGAAUAUUGGUCAAUGGGCGGUAGCCUGAACCAGCCAAGUAGCGUGAAGGAUGAAGGUUCUAUGGAUUGUAAACUUCUUUUAUAAAGGAAUAAAGUGAGGCACGUGUGCCUUUUUGUAUGUACUUUAUGAAUAAGGAUCGGCUAACUCCGUGCCAGCAGCCGCGGUAAUACGUAGGAUCCGAGCGUUAUCCGGAUUUAUUGGGUUUAAAGGGUGCGUAGGCGGUCCGUUAAGUCAGCGGUAAAAUUGCGGGGCUCAACCCCGUCGAGCCGUUGAAACUGGG